This 253-nucleotide ribosomal RNA is filed under the name uncultured bacterium. Its description in RNAcentral is "partial 16S ribosomal RNA". It matches the Rfam family "Bacterial small subunit ribosomal RNA", at positions 524 to 776 of the family's 1533-position model. The record is from RNAcentral.
UACGUAGGGUGCGAGCGUUAAUCGGAAUUACUGGGCGUAAAGCGUGCGCAGGCGGUUUUGUAAGCCAGAUGUGAAAUCCCCGGGCUUAACCUGGGAAUGGCAUUUGGGACUGCAAGGCUUGAGUGCGGCAGAGGAGACUGGAAUUCCCGGUGUAGCAGUGAAAUGCGUAGAUAUCGGGAGGAAUGCCGAUGGCGAAGGCAGGUCUCUGGGCUGACACUGACGCUCAUGCACGAAAGCGUGGGGAGCAAACAGG